Molecule: ribosomal RNA, 504 nt
Filed under: uncultured soil bacterium
Lineage: Bacteria
Description: bacterial SSU rRNA
Rfam family: Bacterial small subunit ribosomal RNA
Source: RNAcentral
AGAUUGAACGCUGGCGGCAUGCCUUACACAUGCAAGUCGAACGGCAGCACGGGAGCAAUCCUGGUGGCGAGUGGCGAACGGGUGAGUAAUACAUCGGAACGUGCCCAGUUGUGGGGGAUAGCCCGGCGAAAGCCGGAUUAAUACCGCAUACGACCUACGGGUGAAAGCGGGGGAUCGCAAGACCUCGCGCUAUUGGAGCGGCCGAUGUCGGAUUAGCUUGUUGGUAGGGUAAAAGCCUACCAAGGCUACGAUCCGUAGCUGGUCUGAGAGGACGACCAGCCACACUGGGACUGAGACACGGCCCAGACUCCUACGGGAGGCAGCAGUGGGGAAUUUUGGACAAUGGGCGAAAGCCUGAUCCAGCCAUGCCGCGUGCGGGAAGAAGGCCUCGGGUUGUAAACCGCUUUGUCAGGAGAAACGGUUCGAGCUAAUAUCUCGGACUAAUGACGGUACCUGAAGAAUAAGACACCGGACUAACUACGUGCCAGCAGCCGCGGUAAUCUA